AUUACAGAAAAAUAUGAUUAUAUUUGAUAUUAAAAAAACAAACUGUGGCAAUGUAAACAGAUUCAGUGCUGUUUUACAGAAGCUCUCCAGGAAAGUCUUAAUGAAAUAGAAUAAGGGAUAACGAGAGCUUCGUGAUUUGCGCUGGCCACUAACCAAAACCAUGUGAUGUCACUUUAUUUCAGUCUACAGGCUGUUCAGACUGCACCACUGAAUUCAGGACUACGUCAUAAGAUAAAUCUGUGUGGGGGGUAAAAACGGUAACCUGGGAAUGUGUCGGCGGCGCGGCGCUCCCAGGGCUGAAAGCCAUGUUAGCUUAGCCACAGACCACGGUUAGGUGUAGGGAAACUGCACACUAGAAGCAACAACACGCUCAGUGACUCGGUGCUCGUGGUCGUGCGGUGGAUAGGAAUGUACAGUUUAAUAAUAUACGAAAUGGCUCGUACUGUUAACGCACUAAAGUUUCAGCUGACACUUUGCUCUCUGGAUGAAUACGGACUCUUGAAGGAAGGAGUGCAUCUUUUUUUUUUUUUUUUCUUUUUGCACUUUUAAUACGAUUUCUCACUUUCCUAUCGGCAUGUUGUUUUCUUUCUGAAUCAGUAAUAGAAGCGAGGAGCACGGUAACAACGUCUGAAUGUAAAAAUAGGGAAAACGAAGCGAGCUGAUAGGUGUCGUAACGCUGUGUGCCUGUUGCCUCUGUGGUGAUUGUAACAGAGUAAAACUAGGAUGGGACUAAAAAUAUUCAAAAGGAGGAAUACAACAUUGACAGUACUGAUCGACAUUUACUGAUCAGGAGUUUCCAGAAAAGGACUCCAGCUAUUACAGAAGCAACAGACUCCAGGAAAAAAGAAGAAAAACCGAAUGUGUUGAAAAUGUUGCAUCAUGUGUGUUUGAUACCAUUUUGUAUUAUUGAUAUGAAUCUUGUGUGUUUUAUAAGGAAUUAAAUAAUUUAUUACUGUCUGUUACCUCAGUGUGUCCCAGACCUGGACAAAGAAAAAAAGCUCCCCACUGUGUGUGUUUUUCAAAUUUCCUGGUGAGGCUCGUGCUAAACUAAGCAAACUACCUGCUGGUAUCUGUUUUUUGUCCAGAAACAUUUGAUUGCUGCCUUUCUCGGGUUGAUCAAAAUCCCUGAGGAAUCCUGAAAGGGCGAUUGUGAGUAAAUGAAGAGCUUCUGUUUAAAUUAUGUAACAGAUUUCAGUUUUAUACAUCCCGAAACUUUGUAAGUGAAUGAAGGUGGAAACUUUUACAUUUGGUUUGCAAAAAAGGAGUUUUCACAAGUUGUGUAACGUGUUUUUUGGCAGGUCUGUUGUGUUCUAACUGGCUGUGUCAGACUGAGGCGCUAGACGAGGCACAAUCUGUGGCCUUCUUCUCUAGCCUCAGGGGUCGAUUAUAUUUCAAUAAAAUAAAUAACAGGA
This is a long non-coding RNA of Astatotilapia calliptera (eastern happy), 1412 nucleotides long. The record is from Ensembl. NCBI's taxonomy places the organism in Eukaryota, Metazoa, Chordata, Actinopteri, Cichliformes, Cichlidae.